UACGGAGGGUGCAAGCGUUGCUCGGAAUUACUGGGCGUAAAGCGCGUGUAGGCGGUCUCGUGUGUCUGGCGUGAAAGCCCCGGGCUCACCCCGGGAAGUGCGUUGGAAACUGCGAGACUAGAGUUCCGGAGAGGAAGGUGGAAUUCCAGGUGUAGCGGUGAGAUGCGUAGAUAUCUGGAAGAACACCGGUGGCGAAGGCGGCCUUCUGGACGGUGACUGACGCUGAGACGCUAAAGCUUGGGGAGCACACAGG
This 253-nucleotide ribosomal RNA is filed under the name uncultured bacterium. RNAcentral describes it as "partial 16S ribosomal RNA". It matches the Rfam family "Bacterial small subunit ribosomal RNA", at positions 524 to 776 of the family's 1533-position model. The record is from RNAcentral.